This 307-nucleotide long non-coding RNA is filed under the name Homo sapiens (human). RNAcentral's name for it is "non-protein coding lnc-NIPBL-2:1". Lineage: Eukaryota; Metazoa; Chordata; Mammalia; Primates; Hominidae. The record is from RNAcentral.
UCAAUCUCCUGACCUCACGAUCUACCCACGUCAGCCUCCCAAAGUGCUGGGAUUACAGGCGUGAGCCACCGUGCCCAGCCCCAUAAAUAGGUUAUCUUUAAAUAUUCUUCCUUGAUAUCAAAUAUCCAGUAAGUGUUUAAAUUUUUUAUUUUCUCAUAAAUGUCAUAUUUUUUAGGUCCUUUCUGUAGGCUUUCUCAUGUCUUUUUAUUCCUUGCAAAUUUCUUAUAUUGAAAACACAAGUAUUUUUCCUUGGGUUCUUAAGUAGAUUCUAGGGGCUGGGCGCGGUGGCUCAUGCCUGUAAUCCCAG